Molecule: long non-coding RNA, 5517 nt
Organism: Cuculus canorus (common cuckoo)
Lineage: Eukaryota; Metazoa; Chordata; Aves; Cuculiformes; Cuculidae
Exons: 8
Source: RefSeq, a predicted model, not a curated record
GCUAUGGGGUCGCUGCGGGCGGCGGGGCGGCCCCGGGGCGGAGCGGCGGCGGGGGGAGCCGCAGCGUGCUCGGACGUUGCCCAUCUCUGGUGCUUUGUUUGUCCAUGCGAGUAGAGUUUUCGGGGCGCUGGGGUGCCCUGUGCCAGCCCCCGGUUCCCGGCAGCGCCAGAUGGAGCAGCAUGCCGUGUGCAGCAGGAUUGUGGAGUUGAUGUCGGGUGACCCCACUACAGGAAAGGCCGAUAGCCAUUACAAGUGGUGACCAGAGGGAACACCUGCCCAGCCCAGGUCCACCGUAUGGUCCAGAGCCUGAUGCUCACAGGUGUGUUGGAUCCAGGGAAGCACAGUUUUCCUCCAGACUAUAACCUCCAAAACCCGCAGCACUGUGACCGAGGGACUGGACAGCCAUCAGCUCAUUUGUCUUCAUUAGUGUGUCCUUCCGAAAAGCCACCACAACGAGCAGCGAGGAGACCUGCAGCACAUGAACUUCAGUGUGCUACCUCAGCAGUGGCCACCUCCAGAGCUCGGGGAAGACAGAAGAUCGUUCCUUGUUGACCUUGCCAGCCCUGCGGAGAUAAGCUGCACACAGUGAAGCAGUUUGAGAUGAGGGGCCCUGAGCAGCAGCAACCCUUGCUCUACUUGCACAGCUACUGAGUGGUGUUCUCUUCCCUUCCUGCCACCCCUCAUCCAGAAAUGGGAGGCAAAGGGGACUCGAGGAGCACAAUCAGUCAGCGGUAAAGUAGGCUCUUCUGCUGAGUUGUGAUCCUUCAUCUGCAGUUCUUCAGGAGCUUAAAUUCUGAAUGGCCAGGGGUCUGGCUGUUGCCCUUGGGUGUGAAACCACUUCUGCUCGGUGGAGGGUGAGCAAAGAUCUGCGGGGGCACAGGUGGACGAUUAGGGCUGAGGCGUAUAAAGAAAUGAUGUGAAUGGUCACAAGGGAAGAGAUGCCAAACAUCUGUGUCACAAAGCUCCAUGGAGUACAGAAUCCAGAAGGCAUCAUAAAGCCACUGUUCCUGGUCAGGAGGCAUUGACCACCCUGGGAGGCAGCCUGAGAGACCCAUGCAGUGUGUUGGCAGUGAGGAGACUCCAGAUGCCCCAGCAAAGGCUUCUUUCACGUGACAACAGCCAUUGAUGUUUCAUAAUCUGGUGGAAGUCUUCGGGCAAGACCUUUCUCCGGGGAAGCUGUGCCUCUGUCAGUGGAAAUGGCUGCUGCCCCGCACUACGCUCGCCUCCUUUCCAGGCCCUGCGUGGGGACAGGGACCUGCAGGAGCUGCUCCUACCGCUGCGAGAUGACCCCUCUGCACAGAGACCCAUCGCAGCAGCCAAGGGCGGCUGAACGUUGUGGCACAUCAGGCGUGCUUGCUGCAGCACCCGGUGUCCUGGGGUCCCAGGGGCGGCCCGUGUGCCCGGCGACUGAUCCAGACAUAAUGAAGGAUUUUACGUGGCUGUCCCUGCUGCUGUCCUACUCAGGGUGUGACGGCGGAGGCACAAGGCGUCCUGACUCAGCUGCUCCUUGGCAAGAGUGCCGUUAGUCUUGUCGUGCUUUUCUCUGGGUCACGCGUGCACUAAAAAUACCCCCUUAUGGAGCCAAAUUUCCUGACAUAUCUCCUGUAUUUGUGCAGAGCAUCGCCUGCUCUCCUCUGAAAUCCCUGUGUGUCCAAGGCAGCCGCUGUGUGGUGUCCGACCCGAGUACUCGGUGCCCUGAGCAGACCAUGGGGAUGCUGGGAGUGGAGCCACUUUGUAAACAGUGUUUUUAUGUUCUCGUUUCAACACCAAUGUCCAUCCAGCCUUUUCCUUCUCUGCUGCCACUGCCAAGCCUUUCCUCCAGGCUUUUGCUGGAAUUCGGUUUUGUUAUUGGCUCUGAAGAGCUGCUCCUCCUUUUCGGGUCCCACCAGUAGAGUGGGAUGCCUUGUUGUAGGACAACUGUUGGAGCUUCAGCCUUUCCUCUGCUGUCUCUGGGUUGCCCACACACCGACGGGUCCCCAGUCCCCCAAUUCCCUGUUUCUGCAGUCUGGAGAGCAUUUCCUUCAGGGGAAAAAUGAGAAAAAUCCAGGCAGGACUUCUUUAAUAUUGGAAAGCUGUCUACUUCAAUUAACAAGUUUAAGCUGAAAGAGGGGAGAUUUAGAUGAGAUUUUAGGAAGAAAUAUUUUCCUGUGAGAGUGGCUGCUAGUAAUACCAUAAUUGAAUUCAUAAAUAAGAAUUAUUUAAGGCUUCAUGCUACCUUGGGCCUUUCUUCUCCUGCUUUUGAAACCACAGAAAAAUCGUGGAAUGAUUUGGGUUGGAAGGGAUCUUAAAGAUCAUCCCGCAACCCCACCAUGGGCAUGGAAACAAAAAUAAAAAGCCAAAAUAAAGGUGGAAGGAAACCCAAGGAGUGACCAUUCUCCCCUGCUGUCCCAAAAUGUCCUCGGCUGCACCCACACCAUCCUGGGAGACAGAAACCUGCUGGAACGUGGCCUCAAAGCCUUCCAGCAAUGGGGAUCUUACAAACUCUGUCCACAUCACCAGUAGAGUUCUACAAUGUCUGAUUGACAUCUGCCUUGUGGUAACGGAGCGCCUCACUUCCUCCGCUAUGAGACCCAGCAUCACAAACCCCCUUUCUCUUUGCAUCAGGAUUUUACCUAUUUACAGACUGUUAUGACGUUCCCUUCAAUCUUUUCUUUUGGUUGAACAGUCCUAAUUCUUUCCAUCCUUCCUCAUCGAUGCUGACUCUUAGAGCUCUGAUGACUCUUGUUGCUCCUCCUGGCUCUUUGCAGCUGGCAGCCUGAUGCCCAGACCAGCAGUGGAGCCCAGUAACCCUGAGAGACCAUCACCGCUGCUGGGGAGGCUCCUCUUUGCCCCUCUCCUUGAAAUAUAAAUUAAGCCUAAUAUUUUCAUAGAAUCCCUACGUUGGAAAGGACCCACUGGAUCAUCGAGUCCAACCUUUCCUAACACUCCCUUAAACCAUGUCCCUCAGCACCUCAUCCACCCGUCCCUUAAACACCUCCAGGGAAAGGGACUCAACCACCUCCCUGGGCAGCCUGGUUUUUUCAGCUGAUAGUUUCCCCUGGAGGAAAACAGUGCUAAAACCAAAGGUGUGUUCAGUGGUUUUGUGUUCAGUAACCCAGCUGGUUAUCGCUUGGACACAUUUACACUUCAUUUUAUACUUGUUGACAUCGAUCUCCUUUGACAUCUACUGCCCAUAGCCAUCAUCUAUAGCCAUAACACAGUUCCUUUGCCACUCAUUUUUUUUCAUUAUCUUCACCUUUUUGCAUUCUACUAAUGAUGAGAAAUUGUGAGGGGAAAUAUUCUCUGUGUACAAAGUGGCUUAUUUUGAAAAAGGUGAAAUAGGAAAGCUGGGAAAGUGCAGUGCCCCUCCUUGUGCUGUGCUAAAUAAAGUCCCUGUGAGCUCUUAAAGGAGCACUUUGAGCACAGAUCCUGCCGGCACGAGGGCAUCAAUAGGUUAGGAGGUCACUUGUGCAGAUGGUGGAGCAUCCUUCCAGUGAAAUACAUUGUGCUGUGCCAAAACAAAGGUGACUCGAAGCCUACAAGGGACCAGACCCUGACCUUUCAUUUUGCUGUAGUGAUUCCCCUUCUGCUGCACACCCGGAUCCAGACAGAGCCCCAGAAAUAAAGUACACUGAUUUUUUUCAAUUACGAUUCAUAUUGUUGGCUUAAUGGAUAUGAAAUAGGGCCUUAUUAAUAGAUAAGGAUAUUAAUAACUCCUUUUGGUUAAUUGAAAAGGUAAUAUUAAUGAAAAUAGAGCACUUCAAAAUGUCUGUCCCAUAGGGACGUUUAGGCAUUAGCUUCCGUCCCUGGGAGGGAGUGUUUGCUGUCGGGUAUUCUUUCUCCUCAGUUUUACACUGAACUGGGUUUCUUUUAAUUCAUUUUAUGAGACAGUGUUAAUGUGCUCCUUCCUCUCUGGGACCCGGCUGACGCGGGACUCUGUUUCCCCGUGAGCUGUCAGUUAAAGCACACAGCAUCCUCUCCCACCAGUCAGUGUUUGGGGGGCUCUGGGGUGUGUUAGGGGUUGUCACGGCAGCAUUUACACAGCUCAGCUAAAUCAGGUAGGUCGCCAUCACCUGGCUGUGAUGUCAUCGUUGUCACAGCUAAACCAGGACAAAACAGCUCUGAACCAAACAAGCAUGGACAAAUCUUAACCCCCAGCGCUGCCAGAUCACUACAAAGCCCGAGGUGUUUUGUUACAGUGGUGAAAAUUGUAUUUACUGGGCUGUACCUUUGGCUUCUGGGCAAGGAAAAGGCACCUUUCUCACAUACUCUUCUCCUCUGACACUGAAGCUGUGGCUGCUGAGGUCACAGUCGCAGAGAGGUCUCUUGGUGAGGGAGGGAAGCCGAGUUCUGCGCACGACUCUCCUGAUGGUGAGAUCUUUCCUUCCCAUCUGCCUCCAGAGGGGCUACGGGAGGCGAUGUCCUCAGGCAACACUGGGGGACCUUCUUGACAUGGCCAGGGAGUUGGUGUAGUGAGACACAGCGACGGCAGGAGGGCAUGAAAGGAGAGGGUUUAGAGGGAUUGGGUGGAUUUAUCUUCAAGGAAGAGGGACUCUGAAAAGGUGCAAAAUGAGAGCUGGGUGCUCACUCUAAAGGAGUGGAUGAAAAGCAGAGCUCUUUAACACCUGACAAGCCUGACUUGCAGAGGAACCUUCUGCCUGAAUUGUGUUUUAGGAACAAGCUGGGCUGUUGGAAACCGGAGUGAUGGAGAAGUGGAACAGAUGGGAACACAACGUUUCCCUGCCCGUGUGCUCACUUCUUGUUUCUGUCGGCAUAAAGACAAACACUGAUGUGUUCUUCUGCAGAAAGCUGGCGGUGGAUUUAGCCUAGAUUGUUGAUAUUGUAAAUUAAUGACAAACGAUUAAAAUUAGAAAGCAAAGAUGAUAACGCUUGGAAAAUAAUACUGAGAAGUGGAACUGCAAAAUGAUAUAAGCAAAUUAUAAUCAUCAGAUAAGGAAAAUAAAUAUAAUGGGAUAACGAUCUUACCAGUGGUGAAGCCUAGCCUAGCAUCGCUUAUUGGAGGUAUUUGAAAAGGAAUGAGCCAGAACAUAAAAUAGUGGAUAAGAAUUUGAGUUGAUGGUAGAUGAGGAUUGUUAUGCGGAGGUAUUAUGUACCAGACUUCAGAAGCAGCAAUGUUUUAGUGAAAAUAUAGAUGUAAAUAGGAGCUGAUUCAGUGGGCAGGUGUGUGUGGGCAGGGAGCCAAUUUUGUCCAAACUGGACUAAAACGUAAAACCAGUUCCUAUGUACUGGACAGGCAGACAAACUUGUUUCAAAGCAUUAAAAUGAGGAACAGCAAAUCCAGUCCUCUGGUCCUGAAGGCCUUCCUACUGUAUAAUCGCUGUCUUUAGCUGAUCUGUCCCUCUUGGAAAUGAGACUUUCCUGCCCUCCCAUGACAAGAAGGUAUCACAUCUUCCUGUUGCUGCCUUGCAAACCUGCUUCCAGCCCAGGUUUCCCCAUAGAAACACGGAGCACAUCAGGGAUAAACCGUGCUCGUGCUGCUGUACAGUGAAAGAUCACCUGAGGUGUAACUUGAGAACA